UCCCAGUUGGAGGAAACUGAUAUAGUCUCAGAACUCCAUCUUAUACUUAGUUUAUGUUUUUGUUGUUUCUGUGUUUUCCAUCCAAAGCCAUGUUUAGGCUUGGAUUUUCAGUCGAGUUAUGUACUAGUACUACCAAGCAAAAAGGGUCUACCUAGGUGUAAAAGGAAGCCUAACCCAACUCCAAUCCACCACACUUAAUUGCUUGAGCCUUAGCCUUUCUUCAAUGCCCACGGUCAUCACUCAUCUCUAGGAACGGAGAAGGAUAUAUGAUAGUCUUGAAAAUAGAAUUGUUGAAUGUAUAGGAGGGAAGAAAGAGAAGAAGAAAUCCUAGAAAGGUGAGUGCCACCGUGGGCGAAGUCCUAAGAGACCAUUUUUUCUUCUACUUUUCAUCCUGCUUCUUGACCUAUUUCUUCUUGGAGCCACCUUCUUGACCCCGUCAUCCUUCAUCUCAAUACCUUGGUAGAGCGUGGCCUGAAAAUUCUCA
This 484-nucleotide long non-coding RNA is filed under the name Phoenix dactylifera (date palm). RNAcentral describes it as "long non-coding RNA (PDAC_LNC022763)". The record is from RNAcentral. Lineage: Eukaryota; Viridiplantae; Streptophyta; Magnoliopsida; Arecales; Arecaceae.